This 253-nucleotide ribosomal RNA is filed under the name uncultured bacterium. RNAcentral describes it as "partial 16S ribosomal RNA". It matches the Rfam family "Bacterial small subunit ribosomal RNA", at positions 524 to 776 of the family's 1533-position model. The record is from RNAcentral.
UACGUAGGGGGCAAGCGUUGUCCGGAUUUAUUGGGCGUAAAGAGCUCGUAGGCGGCCUGUUGCGUCCGCUGUGAAAGCCCGGGGCUUAACCCCGGGUCGGCAGUGGAUACGGGCAGGCUAGAGGUAGGUAGGGGAGAAUGGAAUUCCCGGUGUAGCGGUGAAAUGCGCAGAUAUCGGGAGGAACACCGGUGGCGAAGGCGGGUCUCUGGACAGUUCCUGACGCUGAAGCACGAAGGCCAGGGGAGCAAACGGG